GUCCUGGCAGUAAACGGUGCGCGUUUGGUGUGGGAGGAUUCGACCCCUUCCGUGCCGGAGCUAACGCGUUAAACGCGCCGCCUGGGGAGUACGGUCGCAAGAUUAAAACUCAAAGAAAUUGACGGGGGCCCGCACAAGCGGUGGAGUAUGUGGCUUAAUUCGAUGCAACGCGAAGAACCUUACCUAGGCUUGACAUGCAUCUCUAAGUCGGUGAAAGCCGGCGAGUCCCGCAAGGGACAAUUUGCACAGGUGCUGCAUGGCUGUCGU
Molecule: ribosomal RNA, 267 nt
Filed under: uncultured bacterium
Lineage: Bacteria
Description: partial 16S ribosomal RNA
Rfam family: Bacterial small subunit ribosomal RNA
Source: RNAcentral